UGCUUGCACCUUUCAAGCGAGUGGCGAACGGGUGAGUAACACGUGGAUAACCUGCCUCAAGGCUGGGGAUAACAUUUGGAAACAGAUGCUAAUACCGAAUAAAACUUAGUAUCGCAUGAUAUCAAGUUAAAAGGCGCUACGGCGUCACCUAGAGAUGGAUCCGCGGUGCAUUAGUUAGUUGGUGGGGUAAAGGCUUACCAAGACGAUGAUGCAUAGCCGAGUUGAGAGACUGAUCGGCCACAUUGGGACUGAGACACGGCCCAAACUCCUACGGGAGGCUGCAGUAGGGAAUCUUCCACAAUGGGCGCAAGCCUGAUGGAGCAACGCCGCGUGUGUGAUGAAGGCUUUCGGGUCGUAAAGCACUGUUGUAUGGGAAGAAAUGCUAAAAUAGGGAAUGAUUUUAGUUUGACGGUACCAUACCAGAAAGGGACGGCUAAAUACGUGCCAGCAGCCGCGGUAAUACGUAUGUCCCGAGCGUUAUCCGGAUUUAUUGGGCGUAAAGCGAGCGCAGACGGUUGAUUAAGUCUGAUGUGAAAGCCCGGAGCUCAACUCCGGAAUGGCAUUGGAAACUGGUUAACUUGAGUGUUGUAGAGGUAAGUGGAACUCCAUG
This 610-nucleotide ribosomal RNA is filed under the name Leuconostoc sp. RNAcentral's name for it is "bacterial SSU rRNA". It matches the Rfam family "Bacterial small subunit ribosomal RNA", at positions 77 to 673 of the family's 1533-position model. Lineage: Bacteria; Bacillati; Bacillota; Bacilli; Lactobacillales; Lactobacillaceae. The record is from RNAcentral.